GAUGAACGCUAGCGACAGGCCUAACACAUGCAAGUCGAGGGGCAGCAUGGUAUCAGCUUGCUGAUACCGAUGGCGACCGGCGCACGGGUGAGUAACGCGUAUGUAAUCUGCCUGUAACAGAGGGAUAACCCGGAGAAAUCCGGCCUAAUACCUCAUAGCACAUAUUAUUCGCAUGAGUUUUAUGUUAAAGAGACUCGGUUACAGAUGAACAUGCGUUCCAUUAGCUGGUUGGCGGGGUAACGGCCCACCAAGGCAACGAUGGAUAGGGGUUCUGAGAGGAAGGUCCCCCACACUGGUACUGAGACACGGACCAGACUCCUACGGGAGGCAGCAGUGAGGAAUAUUGGUCAAUGGGCGAGAGCCUGAACCAGCCAAGUCGCGUGGAGGAAGACUGCCCUACGGGUUGUAAACUCCUUUUACCUGGGAAUAACGGGCGCUACGCGUAGCGCUGUGCAUGUACCGGGAGAAUAAGCAUCGGCUAAUUCCGUGCC
This 491-nucleotide ribosomal RNA is filed under the name uncultured bacterium. RNAcentral describes it as "bacterial SSU rRNA". It matches the Rfam family "Bacterial small subunit ribosomal RNA", at positions 28 to 509 of the family's 1533-position model. The record is from RNAcentral.